Molecule: ribosomal RNA, 490 nt
Filed under: uncultured bacterium
Lineage: Bacteria
Description: partial 16S ribosomal RNA
Rfam family: Bacterial small subunit ribosomal RNA
Source: RNAcentral
AUUGAACGCUGGCGGCAGGCUUAACACAUGCAAGUCGAGCGGUAACAGAGAGAAGCUUGCUUCUCUGCUGACGAGCGGCGGACGGGUGAGUAAUGCCUAGGAAUCUGCCUAGUAGUGGGGGAUAACUUGCCGAAAGGUAAGCUAAUACCGCAUACGUCCUACGGGAGAAAGGAGGGGACCUUCGGGCCUUUCGCUAUUAGAUGAGCCUAGGUCGGAUUAGUUAGUUGGUGAGGUAAUGGCUCACCAAGACCGCGAUCCGUAACUGGUCUGAGAGGAUGAUCAGUCAUACUGGAACUGAGACACGGUCCAGACUCCUACGGGAGGCAGCAGUGGGGAAUAUUGGACAAUGGGGGGAACCCUGAUCCAGCCAUGCCGCGUGUGUGAAGAAGGUCUUAGGAUUGUAAAGCACUUUAAGUUGGGAGGAAGAGCAGUUAACUAAUAUUUGACUGUUUUGACGUUACCGACAGAAUAAGCACCGGCUAACUUCGUG